This 460-nucleotide ribosomal RNA is filed under the name uncultured bacterium. Its description in RNAcentral is "partial 16S ribosomal RNA". It matches the Rfam family "Bacterial small subunit ribosomal RNA", at positions 338 to 795 of the family's 1533-position model. The record is from RNAcentral.
CCUACGGGAGGCAGCAGUGAGGAAUAUUGGUCAAUUGACGCAAGUCUGAACCAGCCAUGCCGCGUGCAGGAAGACGGCUCUAUGAGUUGUAAACUGCUUUUGUACGAGGGUAAACGCAGAUACGCGUAUCUGUCUGAAAGUAUCGUACGAAUAAGGAUCGGCUAACUCCGUGCCAGCAGCCGCGGUAAUACGGAGGAUUCAAGCGUUAUCCGGAUUUAUUGGGUUUAAAGGGUGCGUAGGCGGUCGGAUAAGUUAGAGGUGAAAUCCCGAGGCUCAACUUCGGAAUUGCCUCUGAUACUGUGCGGCUAGAGAGUAGUUGCGGUAGGCGGAAUGUAUGGUGUAGCGGUGAAAUGCUUAGAGAUCAUACAGAACACCGAUUGCGAAGGCAGCUUACCAAGCUACUUCUGACGUUGAGGCACGAAAGCGUGGGGAGCAAACAGGAUUAGAUACCCCAGUAGUC